This 408-nucleotide ribosomal RNA is filed under the name uncultured bacterium. RNAcentral describes it as "partial 16S ribosomal RNA". It matches the Rfam family "Bacterial small subunit ribosomal RNA", at positions 28 to 526 of the family's 1533-position model. The record is from RNAcentral.
GACGAACGCUGGCGGCGUGCUUAACACAUGCAAGUCGAACGAAAUGGCGAACGGGUGAGUAACGCGUAAUCAAACUGCCCUUCAGAGGGGGACAACAGUUGGAAACGACUGCUAAUACCGCAUACUGAAGGAGGGGAUUGCGUCUGAUUAGCUAGUUGGAGGGGUAACGGCCCACCAAGGCGAUGAUCAGUAGCAGGUAUGAGACGAUGAACGGACACAUUGGGACUGGGACACGGCCCAUACUCCUACGGGAGGCAGCAGUAGGGAAUCUUACGCAAUGGACGAAAGUCUGACGGAGCAACGCAGCGUGAGUGAUGACGGCCUUCGGGUUGUAUAGCUCUGUUAAUCGGGACGCGGUACCGGAAUAGAAAGCCACGGCUAACUACGUGCCAGCAGCCGCGGUAAUUC